This 519-nucleotide ribosomal RNA is filed under the name Bacillus sp. (in: firmicutes). RNAcentral describes it as "bacterial SSU rRNA". It matches the Rfam family "Bacterial small subunit ribosomal RNA", at positions 21 to 522 of the family's 1533-position model. Lineage: Bacteria; Bacillati; Bacillota; Bacilli; Caryophanales; Bacillaceae. The record is from RNAcentral.
GGCUCAGGACGAACGCUGGCGGCGUGCCUAAUACAUGCAAGUCGAGCGGACAGAUGGGAGCUUGCUCCCUGAUGUUAGCGGCGGACGGGUGAGUAACACGUGGGUAACCUGCCUGUAAGACUGGGAUAACUCCGGGAAACCGGGGCUAAUACCGGAUGGUUGUCUGAACCGCAUGGUUCAGACAUAAAAGGUGGCUUCGGCUACCACUUACAGAUGGACCCGCGGCGCAUUAGCUAGUUGGUGAGGUAACGGCUCACCAAGGCGACGAUGCGUAGCCGACCUGAGAGGGUGAUCGGCCACACUGGGACUGAGACACGGCCCAGACUCCUACGGGAGGCAGCAGUAGGGAAUCUUCCGCAAUGGACGAAAGUCUGACGGAGCAACGCCGCGUGAGUGAUGAAGGUUUUCGGAUCGUAAAGCUCUGUUGUUAGGGAAGAACAAGUGCCGUUCAAAUAGGGCGGCACCUUGACGGUACCUAACCAGAAAGCCACGGCUAACUACGUGCCAGCAGCCGCGGUA